RNAcentral lists this microRNA precursor (55 nucleotides) under Fasciola hepatica (liver fluke). RNAcentral's name for it is "microRNA fhe-mir-96 precursor". Its record names the gene fhe-mir-96. Lineage: Eukaryota; Metazoa; Platyhelminthes; Trematoda; Plagiorchiida; Fasciolidae. The record is from miRBase by way of RNAcentral.
CUUGGCACUUUGGAAUUGUCACAAGCUCUUUGGGGCGGUUACUCAGUGCCAAAAA